AAAGUUCCCUUCGGGGAACAAGUAGAGUGGCGCACGGGUGAGUAACACGUAGGUAAUCUACCUUUGGAUUGGGAAUAACACCGAGAAAUCGGUGCUAAUACCGAAUAAUGCAGCGGCACCUAAUGGUGACAGUUGUUAAAGCGGGGGAUCGCAAGACCUCGCGUCUAAAGAGGAGCCUGCGGCGGAUUAGCUAGUUGGUAAGGUAACGGCUUACCAAGGCGAUGAUCCGUAGCCGGCCUGAGAGGGCGGUCGGCCACACUGACACUGACAUACGGGUCAGACUCCUACGGGAGGCAGCAGUCGGGAAUUUUGGGCAAUGGGCGAAAGCCUGACCCAGCAACGCCGCGUGAAGGAUGAAAUCCCUCGGGAUGUAAACUUCGCAAGAACGGGAAGAAUAAGUCGGUGCUAACACCAUCGGCGAUGACGGUACUGUUUGUAAGCUCCGGCUAACUCCGUGCCAGCAGCCGCGGUAAUACGGGGGGAGCAAGCGUUGUUCGGAUUUACUGGGCGUAAAGGGCGCGUAGGCGGCCACCGCAAGUCGACUGUGAAAUCUCCGGGCUUAACUCGGAAAGGUCAGCCGAUACUGCGGGGCUAGAGUGCAGAAGGGGCAACUGGAAUUCUCGGUGUAGCGGUGAAAUGCGUAGAUAUCGAGAGGAACACCUGCGGCGAAGGCGGGUUGCUGGGCUGACACUGACGCUGAUUGUGCGAAAGCUAGGGGAGCGAACGGGAUUAGAUACCCCGGUAGUCCUAGCCUUAAACGAUGAAUGCUUGGUGUCUGGGGUUUUAUAGUCCCCGGGUGCCGUCGCUAACGCUUUAAGCAUUCCGCCUGGGGAGUACGGUCGCAAGACUG
This 850-nucleotide ribosomal RNA is filed under the name uncultured Bacillota bacterium. RNAcentral describes it as "bacterial SSU rRNA". It matches the Rfam family "Bacterial small subunit ribosomal RNA", at positions 70 to 896 of the family's 1533-position model. Lineage: Bacteria; Bacillati; Bacillota. The record is from RNAcentral.